UUAGAGUUUGAUCCUGGCUCAGGACGAACACUGGCGGCGUGCCUAAUACAUGCAAGUCGAACGAAGCUUUCUUUCACCGAAUGCUUGCAUUCACCGAAAGAAGCUUACUGGCGAACGGGUGAGUAACACGUAGGCAACCUGCCCAAAAGAGGGGGAUAACACUUGGAAACAGGUGCUAAUACCGCAUAACCAUGAACACCGCAUGAUGUUCAUGUAAAAGACGGCUUUUGCUGUCACUUUUGGAUGGGCCUGCGGCGUAUUAACUUGUUGGUGGGGUAACGGCCUACCAAGGUGAUGAUACGUAGCCGAACUGAGAGGUUGAUCGGCCACAUUGGGACUGAGACACGGCCCAAACUCCUACGGGAGGCAGCAGUAGGGAAUCUUCCACAAUGGACGAAAGUCUGAUGGAGCAACGCCGCGUGAAUGAAGAAGGCCUUCGGGUCGUAAAAUUCUGUUGUCAGAGAAGAACGUGCGUGAGAGUAACUGUUCACGUAUUGACGGUAUCUGACCAGAAAGCCACGGCUAAUUACGUGCCAGCAGCCGCGGUAAUACGUAGGUGGCAAGCGUUGUCCGGAUUUAUUGGGCGUAAAGGGAACGCAGGCGGUCUUUUAAGUUUGAUGUGAAAGCCUUCGGCUUAACCGAAGUAGUGCAUUGGAAACUGGAAGACUUGAGUGCAGAAGAGGAGAGUGGAACUCCAUGUGUAGCGGUGAAAUGCGUAGAUAUAUGGAAGAACACCAGUGGCGAAAGCGGCUCUCUGGUCUGUAACUGACGCUGAGGUUCGAAAGCGUGGGUAGCAAACAGGAUUAGAUACCCUGGUAGUCCACGCCGUAAACGAUGAGUGCUAAGUGUUGGAGGGUUUCCGCCCUUCAGUGCUGCAGCUAACGCAUUAAGCACUCCGCCUGGGGAGUACGGUCGCAAGACU
Molecule: ribosomal RNA, 922 nt
Filed under: uncultured bacterium
Lineage: Bacteria
Description: bacterial SSU rRNA
Rfam family: Bacterial small subunit ribosomal RNA
Source: RNAcentral